AAGUCGUGGGGCAGCAGGUCUGUAGCAAUACAGAUGCUGGCGACCGGCAAACGGGUGCGGAACACGUACACAACCUUCCUUUUAGUGGAGAAUAGCCCAGGGAAACUUGGAUUAAUACUCCGUAACAUAUAGAAGCGGCAUCGCUUUUAUAUUAUAGCAGCAAUGCGCUAGAAGAUGGGUGUGCGGCUGAUUAGAUAGUUGGCGGGGUAACGGCCCACCAAGUCGACGAUCAGUAACUGGUGUGAGAGCACGACCAGUCACACGGGCACUGAGACACGGGCCCGACUCCUACGGGAGGCAGCAGUAAGGAAUAUUGGUCAAUGGACGCAAGUCUGAACCAGCCAUGCCGCGUGGAGGAUGAAGGUCCUCUGGAUUGUAAACUUCUUUUAUCUGGGAAGAAAUCCAUUUUUUCUAAAAUGGUUGACGGUACCAGAUGAAUAAGCACCGGCUAACUCCGUGCCAGCAGCCGCGGUAAUACGGAGGGUGCAAGCGUUAUCCGGAUUCACUGGGUUUAAAGGGUGCGUAGGUGGGCAAGUAAGUCAGUGGUGAAAUCUCCGGGCUUAACCCGGAAACUGCCAUUGAUACUAUUUGUCUUGAAUACUGUGGAGGUCAGCGGAAUAUGUCAUGUAGCGGUGAAAUGCUUAGAUAUGACAUAGAACACCAAUUGCGAAGGCAGCUGGCUACACAAAUAUUGACACUGAGGCACGAAAGCGUGGGGAUCAAACAGGAUUAGAUACCCUGGUAGUCCACGCCCUAAACUAUGGAUACUCGACAUUUGCGAUAAACUGCAAGUGUCUGAGCGAAAGCAUUAAGUAUC
RNAcentral lists this ribosomal RNA (817 nucleotides) under uncultured Sphingobacteriales bacterium. RNAcentral describes it as "bacterial SSU rRNA". It matches the Rfam family "Bacterial small subunit ribosomal RNA", at positions 59 to 868 of the family's 1533-position model. The record is from RNAcentral. Lineage: Bacteria; Pseudomonadati; Bacteroidota; Sphingobacteriia; Sphingobacteriales.